RNAcentral lists this unclassified non-coding RNA (583 nucleotides) under Penicillium nalgiovense. RNAcentral describes it as "sequence contains 18S rRNA gene, ITS1, 5.8S rRNA gene, ITS2, 28S rRNA gene". The stretch from base 218 to 370 matches the Rfam family "5.8S ribosomal RNA". Lineage: Eukaryota; Fungi; Ascomycota; Eurotiomycetes; Eurotiales; Aspergillaceae. The record is from RNAcentral.
GUAACAAGGUUUCCGUAGGUGAACCUGCGGAAGGAUCAUUACCGAGUGAGGGCCCUCUGGGUCCAACCUCCCACCCGUGUUUAUUUUACCUUGUUGCUUCGGCGGGCCCGCCUUAACUGGCCGCCGGGGGGCUCACGCCCCCGGGCCCGCGCCCGCCGAAGACACCCUCGAACUCUGUCUGAAGAUUGUAGUCUGAGUGAAAAUAUAAAUUAUUUAAAACUUUCAACAACGGAUCUCUUGGUUCCGGCAUCGAUGAAGAACGCAGCGAAAUGCGAUACGUAAUGUGAAUUGCAAAUUCAGUGAAUCAUCGAGUCUUUGAACGCACAUUGCGCCCCCUGGUAUUCCGGGGGGCAUGCCUGUCCGAGCGUCAUUGCUGCCCUCAAGCCCGGCUUGUGUGUUGGGCCCCGUCCUCCGAUCCCGGGGGACGGGCCCGAAAGGCAGCGGCGGCACCGCGUCCGGUCCUCGAGCGUAUGGGGCUUUGUCACCCGCUCUGUAGGCCCGGCCGGCGCUUGCCGAUCAACCCAAAUUUUUAUCCAGGUUGACCUCGGAUCAGGUAGGGAUACCCGCUGAACUUAAGCAUAUC